GAUGAACGCUGGCGGCGUGCUUAAUACAUGCAAGUCGAACGGAGACAGUAGCAAUAUUGUCUUAGUGGCGAACGGGUGAGUAACGCGUUGGUGACCUGCCCCGAAGAGGGGGAUAACAGUCCGAAAGGAUUGCUAAUACCCCAUGUGGUCGUUUGGAUUAGAUGCCUUAUGACUAAACGGAUUUAUUCGCUUCGGGAGGGGCCUGCGUCCCAUCAGCUAGUUGGUAAGGUAAUGGCUUACCAAGGCGAUGACGGGUAGGGGACCUGAGAGGGUGGCCCCCCACAAUGGAACUGAAACACGGUCCAUACACCUACGGGUGGCAGCAGUAGGGAAUAUUGGUAAUCUGGGAAACCGGGAACCAGCAACGCCGCGUGCGCGAUGAAGGCCUUCGGGUUGUAAAGCGCUUUUUGAGGGAUGAGGAAGGACAGUACCCUCAGAAUAAGCCUCGGCUAACUACGUG
This 460-nucleotide ribosomal RNA is filed under the name uncultured bacterium. RNAcentral's name for it is "bacterial SSU rRNA". It matches the Rfam family "Bacterial small subunit ribosomal RNA", at positions 28 to 507 of the family's 1533-position model. The record is from RNAcentral.